RNAcentral lists this long non-coding RNA (1871 nucleotides) under Equus asinus (donkey). RNAcentral describes it as "lncRNA (ENSEASG00005036653.1)". Lineage: Eukaryota; Metazoa; Chordata; Mammalia; Perissodactyla; Equidae. The record is from RNAcentral.
AGGCGGCCUUCCACAAGCCCACACCUGCAGCUCAUUGAAUCCUCCUGGAGUACAAAGGGCUGAUUUACAGCACGAAGGAUCCAGGCACUGGUUGCAGCUGGGGCUCCAGCAGGAAAAGGAAGUUGUUCAUCAUCUUGUGUGCAUUUCAUUAACAAUAGUGUACCCGAAAUGUAGCUUAUAGAAUAAUUUCAAAUCACUGACAGAGAGCAUUAUGGCAUUUGGCACCACUAGGAAAAAUACUUCGGGAUGGGCAAAUUACACCUGAGCGUGAGGUUUCUAUGCGACCCUCUGGAACUGUGCACUCUGAUUUAUACCAGCAACCAAGAGCUUAGAGGAAGCUGCGCUAAGCAUGGUGAUGGAAACCAACCACCUGAGGAAAUGUAGCUGGUGAGCUGGGAGCACCACAGCAACGUAGUGUGGCAAAUAGUGUGUUUCUUUCUCCUUUGAGUUUCAAUGGUCAUAGAAACGAAGGAGUCCCAGUGAGACACUGAGAUCCCAGAGCUGGCUCAUCAGGACUCUAGGGAAUAAAAAAAAUGGAGAUCCUCAUACUUUCUUCUAUCCCCGUGCCAGGCUGUGCAUCUGUAUCACUGUUGACUUAUUUUUACGCAAGAAAAGCCCACAUGGUUGGAAUGGUGUGAGGGCGAUGAUGAUGAGUGUGGAUGAGGAAAGAGACAGCAAGUGACAGAAAGGAAGAAGACAACUGUCCUCUGGCUAAGGUUCCCACAGACCUCAGGCAGCCUCUGGGCCUGCCUCCUCUGGGGCCAGCGUGGCCUCGAGGUCGAACAUCUCACCUAUUUACCAAGAAGGCUCCAGGUGCUCUGCCUUUCCAGAUCUUUCCUGGGAGUAUCCUGCAGAUCCCACUUGAAAGAUUUUUCUAAGGAAAUGGAAAGCCUUAGAACCUCAAAACAAAAAUGCUUCAAGAGCUACGGCUCUCUGUGGGUUUGUUUGGGGCCAAGCCUCACGUAGGAAGGACAGUGGUGAUGUGCAGAAGGAAAAUGCAAAGACUUCUGAUUAGUUUAUCAAGGACAUUUUAACUUCGACUGCUUUAUAAAGAAGGACAGAAUCAAUAAAAAUUGCCAUCCUCCAGGGAAAGGGAGCAGGGAAGAAAAGCAAAUUUCUUUUCACUUUGUAAUGGUAAACAAACCCGCUCAGAACAGUAUCUGAUGUGGCUGCAUGGAGCCUGGUUUCCAGUUUCUCUUGAUGUGUCAAAUGUAUCCCUUAUGUGAAUCAUGGUUUAAAAAUACUUCUACUCAGUGGGUUCGGGAAAUCAAUAAGCUUUUAUGAUUCUUUCCUUGCUUCACAUAAUUUCUGAUUUCAAAAGAGACUCUGGGUAUUCCUUUAAGAUGUUUGUAUCUUAUGCAUUUUAAAAACAGUUCUUCCAAGGGCUUCCCAAGCAUUGUUGUUAGAGUGGCUGUUUUUCUUCCCAAGCUUUUGCUUUCUUUCUUUCUUUUUUUUUUUUUUCUAACAUAAUGCUAAUGAUUACGGGGCUUACACAUAAAUUGAAGCCGGAUUUAUAAAAUGCAAUAUAAAAAUCCUUGGGAAGGAAGAUAAAUAUAACAAGCUAUGAAACUACGUUAGCCUCUUCCAGCUUUGGAAUGACUACAAAAGAGGAAAUUAAUGACCAGGAUGUGUGAUGUUGCCCAGGUUAGGGGCUUUGGCUCCCAGGCAAGCUGCCUUAAGACGAGCUGUCCUGCAUUCCUUGAUUUCUCUGAAAUACAAAUCUAAUUGCAGAUUGGAACAUAUCCAUUCGCUUAGUCUGUAAAAAUAAUUUUCCCUGAAUAUUUACCCAAAGCGCAUUAUUGCUUAUACAGUUGUGAAAAGCAUUUAGCACUUUAUAAUCCCAUAUUUGCUCCUAUGUGGGCCUGGGAGUG